This is a long non-coding RNA of Acanthochromis polyacanthus (spiny chromis), 409 nucleotides long. RefSeq lists it as uncharacterized. Lineage: Eukaryota; Metazoa; Chordata; Actinopteri; Pomacentridae. The record is from RefSeq and is a predicted model, not a curated record. The transcript has 4 exons.
UGGAGGAGAACAGGUGAAGGUUGGAGAGCAGGUGAAGGAUGGAGGAGAAUAGGUGAAGGUUGGAGGAGAAUAGGUGAAGGUUGGAGGAGAACAGGUGAAGGUUGAAGAAAAGCUGGAGGGUGGAGGAGAACAGCUGAAGGUUGGAGGAGAACAGGUGAAGGUUGGAGAGCAGGUGAAGGAUGGAGGAGAAUAGGUGAAGGUUGGAGGAGAACAGGUGAAGGUUGAAGAAAAGCUGGAGGGUGGAGGAGAACAGCUGAAGGUUGGAGAGCAGGUGAAGGUUGGAGGAGAACAGGUGGAGGUUGGAGAACAGCUGGAGGUUGGAGGAGAACAGGUGGAGGUUGGAGAACAGCUGGAGGUUGGAGGAGAACAGGUGAAGGUUGGAGAACAGGUGAAGGUUGGAGGAGAACAG